CUCUUUGGCCACACCACCCUGGAGACCACCUGAUCUUGUCUGACCUCAGAAGCUAAUCAGGGUGGAGCCUGGUUAGUACCUGGAAGGGAAAAGGA
This 95-nucleotide ribosomal RNA is filed under the name Marmota marmota marmota (Alpine marmot). Lineage: Eukaryota; Metazoa; Chordata; Mammalia; Rodentia; Sciuridae. The record is from RNAcentral.